CCUACGGGAGGCAGCAGUGAGGAAUAUUGGUCAAUGGGCUUACGCCUGAACCAGCCAAGUCGCGUGAGGGAAGACUGCCCUAUGGGUUGUAAACCUCUUUUGUCAGGGAGCAACGCCGGCUACGUGUAGCCGGACUGAGAGUACCUGAAGAAAAAGCAUCGGCUAACUCCGUGCCAGCAGCCGCGGUAAUACGGGGGAUGCGAGCGUUAUCCGGAUUUAUUGGGUUUAAAGGGUGCGUAGGCGGAAUGCCAAGUCAGCGGUAAAAUCGCGGGGCUCAACCUCGCUCCGCCGUUGAAACUGGCGUGCUUGAGUGGGCGAGAAGUAUGCGGAAGGCGUGGUGUAGCGGUGAAAUGCAUAGAUAUCACGCAGAACUCCGAUUGCGAAGGCAGCAUACCGGCGCCCAACUGACGCUGAAGCACGAAAGCGUGGGUAUCGAACAGGAUUAGAUACCCCUGUAGUC
This 460-nucleotide ribosomal RNA is filed under the name uncultured bacterium. RNAcentral describes it as "partial 16S ribosomal RNA". It matches the Rfam family "Bacterial small subunit ribosomal RNA", at positions 338 to 795 of the family's 1533-position model. The record is from RNAcentral.